RNAcentral lists this transfer RNA (74 nucleotides) under Thermoproteota archaeon. Its description in RNAcentral is "tRNA-Trp". It matches the Rfam family "tRNA". Rfam says of the family: Transfer RNA (tRNA) molecules are approximately 80 nucleotides in length. Their secondary structure includes four short double-helical elements and three loops (D, anti-codon, and T loops). Lineage: Archaea; Thermoproteati; Thermoproteota. The record is from RNAcentral.
GGGGUCGUAGCGAAGCCAGGAAUCGCAACGGGCUCCAGACCCGUGGGUCAGGGGUUCAAAUCCCUUCGGCCCCA